RNAcentral lists this ribosomal RNA (253 nucleotides) under uncultured bacterium. RNAcentral describes it as "partial 16S ribosomal RNA". It matches the Rfam family "Bacterial small subunit ribosomal RNA", at positions 524 to 776 of the family's 1533-position model. The record is from RNAcentral.
UACGAAGGGGGCUAGCGUUGUUCGGAAUUACUGGGCGUAAAGCGCACGUAGGCGGACUAUUAAGUCAGGGGUGAAAGCCUGCAGCUUAACUGCAGAACUGCCAUUGAUACUGAUGAGCUUGAAUAUACUUGAGGUGGGCGGAAUGUGUCAUGUAGCGGUGAAAUGCUUAGAUAUGACACAGAACACCGAUUGCGAAGGCAGCUCGCUAAAGUAUGAUUGACGCUGAGGCACGAAAGCGUGGGGAGCAAACAGG